Molecule: non-coding RNA, 799 nt
Organism: Mus caroli (Ryukyu mouse)
Lineage: Eukaryota; Metazoa; Chordata; Mammalia; Rodentia; Muridae
Source: RefSeq, a predicted model, not a curated record
GGCGCCGCCGCCGGCCUCGCCUGGCCUGGCUGAGGGGAGGCGGCGGGCGGGCGCGAUGGCGGAGGCCGGGCCACAGGCGCCGCCGCCCCCGGGGACUCCAAGCCGGCACGAGAAGAGUCUGGGACUUCUCACCACCAAGUUCGUGUCGCUCUUGCAGGAAGCCAAGGACGGCGUGCUUGACCUCAAGCUGGCAGCCGACACUCUUGCCGUGCGCCAGAAACGGCGGAUCUACGACAUCACCAACGUGCUGGAAGGCAUCGGUUUGAUCGAGAAGAAAUCCAAGAACAGCAUCCAGUGGAAGGGCGUCGGGCCAGGUUGCAAUACCCGGGAGAUCGCUGACAAGCUGAUUGAGCUCAAGGCAGAGAUCGAGGAGCUGCAGCAACAGGAGCAAGAACUGGACCAGCACAAGGUGUGGGUGCAGCAGAGCAUCCGGAAUGUCACUGAGGACGUCCAGAACAGCUGCUUGGCCUACGUGACUCAUGAAGACAUCUGCAGAUGCUUUGCUGGAGAUACCCUCCUUGCCAUCCGAGCGCCAUCGGGCACCAGUCUAGAGGUGCCCAUCCCAGAGGGUCUCAAUGGCCAGAAGAAGUACCAGAUUCACUUAAAGAGCAUGAGUGGGCCUAUCGAGGUGCUGCUAGUGAACAAGGAGGCCUGGAGUUCACCACCCGUGGCUGUGCCCGUCCCUCCCCCUGAUGAUCUACUCCAGAGUCCACCUGCUGUUUCUACACCUCCACCUCUGCCCAAGCCUGCCUUAGCUCAACCCCAAGAAUCGUCUCCUCCAAGCAGCCCCCAGCUAAAU